CGUACAUGUAUCUUAUUUUAUGACGAAAGCACCAAGAAAUAAUUUUAUUCUUUCAAAUUUAUACUCGUUAAGAAUUCUCUUCCAAACCUAUCACAUAUAAUCUAAAAAUUGAUGUUUAUGCUUUGAAAAUCAAGAGUGGUACUUGAAAUCCAAGGGUGUUAGCUACAGUUCAAGGAUAGAGGAGGACAACAAACAGCCUGUGGUUAUCCCUGUAAUAUAAUGUUUAAUAUUACGCUAGACUUUUACUGUCCGGUUGGAAUGGGACGUUUUAUAUUUCUUCCUAUGUGACGUUUACAUUUUUCUGACGUCAUACAC
Molecule: long non-coding RNA, 315 nt
Filed under: Mytilus galloprovincialis (Mediterranean mussel)
Lineage: Eukaryota; Metazoa; Mollusca; Bivalvia; Mytilida; Mytilidae
Source: RNAcentral